Monodelphis domestica (gray short-tailed opossum) is the source of this 639-nucleotide long non-coding RNA. RefSeq lists it as uncharacterized. The record is from RefSeq and is a predicted model, not a curated record. Lineage: Eukaryota; Metazoa; Chordata; Mammalia; Didelphimorphia; Didelphidae.
AAGAAAUGGUUCAUAAAGGAGUAAUAAGGAGAAGGAGAUGGUGGGUGAGAUCUCCAGGCCACAUCUCCAUCUAUUACACUGUAAUCUCCAGGAAGACAGACAGAGUAUCCUACUUAAAAUUUGUUGCUCUUAGGGCUUUCAUCAAUGGUCUUCACAGAGCAGAUACUCAAUAAGUAUUUGUUAAAUAGAAUCCUAGAAUAAUAAGAGAACUGGCAUAUACGAUUCACUCUCUGUGGUCUUUGAAAGAUCAUGAAGAAUAGGAAAAGUGCUGUGGAAUUGGAGAAGGGCAAAUAUUUUUUCUACUUCCAAAAAAGGGAAGAGGUUAAAAUCUACAAAUUAUAGAGGGAUAUGGAGUCUUCAUCUAAAGAAACAUUUCCUUGUCAUCUGAGCUGUCCAGACAAAGAAUAUUGUCCCUUGGAAGAAAGUGGAACUCCCGGUAGGAAACUUCCCUCUCGUGAUGCAGAUUGGCAGCUCGUGGAACUUUUAGUCUCAGGGUAUUGAGAGUGAAGUGCUUUGCUCCAUGGCUAGAGCUUGUCCAAGGCUAGGCUUGAACCCAGGCUUUCCUGACUCCAAGGUUGGUCCUCUAGCUACUAUGCCAAGUUGCCUGUGAGAAACAAUAAAGAUACAAAAUAGAACUUA